UAGGAUGUGGUGUAGGGGUAGCACGAAGAUUUUUGAAUUCUUAAGUGCAGGUUCAAGUCCUGUUGUCCUAG
This 71-nucleotide transfer RNA is filed under the name Lophuromys simensis. RNAcentral describes it as "tRNA-Gln". It matches the Rfam family "tRNA". Rfam says of the family: Transfer RNA (tRNA) molecules are approximately 80 nucleotides in length. Their secondary structure includes four short double-helical elements and three loops (D, anti-codon, and T loops). Lineage: Eukaryota; Metazoa; Chordata; Mammalia; Rodentia; Muridae. The record is from RNAcentral.